AUAAAAGAUGAAUAGCGUAAGUGCCCGAUGGGUACGAACGUCAUCUUGUGACUGCAUCACCUUUGUUUGGCUAAAGUACAAGAGAACUGCAGCACCGAAGACUACAUGUACAUCGAUUUAAAUAAUCUGUAUCCUCAAAAGGCAAAUCAAAUACAGAAAAUGCAUAUAAUUUGGAAAAGAGACCACCAAUCCACUGGGGGGUAUCGCAUGAAAGCAAUGAUAUUACAGAAUAUUGUAAAGCUGGACGAGUU
Molecule: long non-coding RNA, 251 nt
Organism: Saccostrea echinata
Lineage: Eukaryota; Metazoa; Mollusca; Bivalvia; Ostreida; Ostreidae
Exons: 3
Source: RefSeq, a predicted model, not a curated record